Small nuclear RNA from Oryctolagus cuniculus (rabbit), 181 nucleotides. Its record names the gene U2. It matches the Rfam family "U2 spliceosomal RNA". Rfam says of the family: U2 is a small nuclear RNA (snRNA) component of the spliceosome (involved in pre-mRNA splicing). Lineage: Eukaryota; Metazoa; Chordata; Mammalia; Lagomorpha; Leporidae. The record is from Ensembl.
AAGACUUCUCGGCCUUUUGGCUAAGAUCAAGUGUAGUAUCUGUUCUUAUCAGUUUAAAGACUAAUAUACAGAACUUUCUUCUUGAAGGAAUGUUUUAAAACAAUAUUAUUGUUGGAACGCUCUCAGGCUCUAUCCUCAUGAUGAUAGGGUUCACUUGAUUGCAGAACACAAUCUAAUAAAU